GAUGAACGCUAGCGAUAGGCUUAACACAUGCAAGUCGAGGGGCAGCAUGGUCUUAGCUUGCUAAGGCUGAUGGCGACCGGCGCACGGGUGCGUAACGCGUAUGCAACUUGCCUCACAGAGGGGGAUAACCCGUCGAAAGACGGACUAAUACCGCGUACACUCUAUGUUGGGCAUCCAAUGUAGAGGAAAUGAAAUUCGCUGUGAGAUAGGCAUGCGUCCAUUAGCUAGUUGGUGAGGUAACGGCUCACCAAGGCGACGAUGGGUAGGGGAACUGAGAGGUUGAACCCCCACACUGGUACUGAGACACGGACCAGACUCCUACGGGAGGCAGCAGUGAGGAAUAUUGGUCAAUGGGCGAGAGCCUGAACCAGCCAAGUCGCGUGAAGGAUGACUGUCUUAUGGAUGGUAAACUUCUUUUAUACGGGAAUAACAAGAGUCACGGGUGGCUCCCUGCAUGUACCGUAUGAAUAAGCAUCGGCUAACUCCGUG
This 489-nucleotide ribosomal RNA is filed under the name uncultured bacterium. RNAcentral describes it as "partial 16S ribosomal RNA". It matches the Rfam family "Bacterial small subunit ribosomal RNA", at positions 28 to 507 of the family's 1533-position model. The record is from RNAcentral.